GAGGUUCUCCCAGUUAGUCUUUACCCGGUUUAAAUCAUGCAACUCAUUUUGAAUGUUACUGCAUUUAUCAGUUAAUUCCUCGUUGUUUUGCUUAAAGAGUGCUAACUGUUGGUGGGCAGCAUCAAGUUCAUUUUGUGCUUGAUGGAAUUGUUGCUGGGUGUGAUUAGCUUCAUCUUGCAAUUUGUUGUAACUCUCUUGCAACAGCUCGUGCUGCGUUUGGAGCUGGGUUAAGUUUUCAUCACUCUGUUGCAAGUGGUUUAACUGGGUUUCGCUAGCCAUUAGUUUGUCAGUUAGGCUUUGGUUUUGUUGUUUGAAGGUAGCUAACUGUUCUUGGGUUAAGCUAAGGUCAAACUGGGUUUGUUCUAGCUGUUGCUUUGUGAGUGUUAGCGUUUUGCUGUCAAACGCAGUUUUUUCCUUGUGGGUAAAUUCUAAAACAUUUAGUUGGUUUUGUAGUUCACUGUUAGUAAUACCCAAGGCCUGGACGUUUUCCUCAGCUGCUUGUAAGCUUGCAAGUAAACUGCUGUUUUUUUGUUCUAGUACCACUUUUUGCUGUUCAAAACCUUGUGCUGCGAGACCUAACUCAAAGUUAGUGGCCUUAACUUGGUCUAACUCUUUUACUAAAGCUUCGUUGUGGCGUUGUAAUUGUGCUAACUGUUCCUGGUGGUGUUGGUGUGCUAGGUGUUGUUCGUGUUCCAAUUCCUUUAACUUAGCAUCACUGUCAGCACGCAUUAACUCAUACUGCUUUAAAAGAUUACGGUACUUGGUGUUUUCAUCGUUUAACUUAGUUUCACGUAGCUGUUUAAUUUCGGUUUUGAGGAAGUUGUUUUCACGCUCAAUUAGGCUUAAGCGUUGGUUAGUUUGCUUUAAGCUAAUUACUUCCGUUUCCAAACUGUUAAUUUCACUGCGUAACGACGGAAUUAAAGCCAGUUGUUCCUGG
This 937-nucleotide small RNA is filed under the name Mycoplasmoides pneumoniae M129. RNAcentral's name for it is "Mycoplasma pneumoniae M129 ncRNA". Lineage: Bacteria; Bacillati; Mycoplasmatota; Mycoplasmoidales; Mycoplasmoidaceae. The record is from RNAcentral.